UCUCGUUUUUACUUCCUUGUUUCCGUCUCGCUUAACUUCCUUAACUUCCCCUUGUUCCGAGGAUACUUUUCCGUCGCUCACCUGACCACGGCUCCCCGCGAAACGGCGACUUCUGCGGGGGACGGACGGCGGAAAACGAGCAACAGAUGGGCGCAGGCGCAUUGGGAGCAGCGGAGACAGCGCCGGUACACCUGUGCACCCAAGCGGUCAUUUCAUGAGACAUACCUGCCAGCUGACUGCCACCACUGGAAACAACACAUUUUCCUCAAUGCAUCUCUUCACAAUUCCAGCAAAAAGUAAAGGCAGUCCCUGGCCCGCCACCGUUUUCCUCAUGCCUGGCUUCACCACGUCGGUGAUCUUCAUGUUGCAUGUGUUGCCAUCGAUGGUGGACACGGUCACUGAGCAUCCACACAACGACUGCAGAGAAAACAAGAGAAACAACGCUUGCGAGAGAUCUUCAUCCGCUUGGUGCAGCCAUGGAAGACCUCCUCCAGGGAGACCCUGAGCUCGUGGACGAUGGCCGGGUCCUGCUUGCACCGCUGCUGUUGAUGUUGCCCGCCUUGGCCAGAGUGCACGUCCCGUGGGAAUCCGUUGAGGUUGAAGCUGCUGAAAGAGCCGAAGGGGUCGUUUCCAUCCACCUCCAUGUCCUCGUCGUCACGCGCGUUGCCCGCCUUGCGCCCAAAGAACAUCUCAAAGGGGUUGGAGCCGCCAAAGAAGGUGGCAAAGGUGGCGUGGGGGUCUCCAUGGAAGGUGUAUGUAAAGUUGUUGCCUUGACUGUCACCGGGUGGACCGCUUCCUCCCUUGAGUCCUGAAGGACAUUCCAAAUGAGACGGUUUAGCAUUCAACUCUAGAUAAUUUUCCUCCCUUUGUGGGUCACUACACACAAA
Molecule: long non-coding RNA, 887 nt
Organism: Hippocampus zosterae (dwarf seahorse)
Lineage: Eukaryota; Metazoa; Chordata; Actinopteri; Syngnathiformes; Syngnathidae
Exons: 4
Source: RefSeq, a predicted model, not a curated record